GGUAGCGUGGCUUAGUGGAAAGGACACUGGCCUGGUAGUCAGAGGACCUGAGUUCUAAUCCCAGCGCUGCCA
Molecule: transfer RNA, 72 nt
Filed under: Ornithorhynchus anatinus (platypus)
Lineage: Eukaryota; Metazoa; Chordata; Mammalia; Monotremata; Ornithorhynchidae
Rfam family: tRNA
About the family: Transfer RNA (tRNA) molecules are approximately 80 nucleotides in length.
Source: Rfam by way of RNAcentral